GGCGAACGGGUGAGUAACACGUGAGUAACCUGCCCCCCUCUUCGGGAUAACCUCGGGAAAUCGUGGCUAAUACCGGAUACGAGCGCUCAUCGCAUGGUGGGUGUUGGAAAGAUUUAUCGGUGGGGGAUGGACUCGCGGCCUAUCAGUUUGUUGGUGAGGUGAUGGCUCACCAAGACGAUGACGGGUAGCCGGCCUGAGAGGGCGACCGGCCACACUGGGACUGAGACACGGCCCAG
RNAcentral lists this ribosomal RNA (236 nucleotides) under uncultured Actinomycetales bacterium. RNAcentral describes it as "partial 16S ribosomal RNA". It matches the Rfam family "Bacterial small subunit ribosomal RNA", at positions 97 to 334 of the family's 1533-position model. Lineage: Bacteria; Bacillati; Actinomycetota; Actinomycetes; Actinomycetales. The record is from RNAcentral.